AUACCCUAUUAUUCUUAAAUAAUUUUAGGCAGUACUGAUUUUCCAAGAAAACCUAUGCAGUUUGGCGGCAUUUAAUCACUUUAGAGGAACCUGUCUUUUAAUCGAUACCCCACGCUAUUUUUUACUUUUUUAAAAAUCUUAUAUACCUCCAUCUUAAGGACUAAUAAAUACAUUUUCUCCUUAAUAGAUUUCUAAUAAGUUAGGUAAAGGUGUAGACUAUGAAAAAGUUAAGAUGGGUUACUAUAAAAUUUAUUUAAGGACUUAAAUCUAAAAGUUUAAUGAAAAAGGAUUUAUUAGUAGUAAAAGAAUUUUAAUCUUUUAUGAAAUUGAUAAACAAUGUGCACACAUCGCCCGUCGC
Molecule: ribosomal RNA, 358 nt
Filed under: Wagneriana yacuma
Lineage: Eukaryota; Metazoa; Arthropoda; Arachnida; Araneae; Araneidae
Description: partial small subunit ribosomal RNA
Source: RNAcentral